Molecule: ribosomal RNA, 254 nt
Filed under: uncultured bacterium
Lineage: Bacteria
Description: partial 16S ribosomal RNA
Rfam family: Bacterial small subunit ribosomal RNA
Source: RNAcentral
UACAGAGGUCUCAAGCGUUGUUCGGAUUCAUUGGGCGUAAAGAGCUCGUAGGCGGUUCGGUAAGUCGGGUGUGAAAACUCUGGGCUCAACCCAGAGCCGCCAUCCGAUACUGCUGUGACUAGAGUGCGGUAGGGGAGCGGGGAAUUCCUGGUGUAGCGGUGAAAUGCGCAGAUAUCAGGAGGAACACCAGUGGCGAAGGCGCCGCUCUGGGCCGUGACUGACGCUGAGGAGCGAAAGCGUGGGUAGCAAACGGG